GUGGGUUUGGGCAGCUGGCACCGGGACGGGAGGGGGCUGCAGGGGGGGCUGCGUGGUGCCGGGAGGUGGCCGGGCAUCAAAGCGCCCUGGGAUGGGCAAAACCACGGCAAAAUCAUACAUAGCCCUGGGCCACCCUGCUCCCAGGACCCUAAGGGUGCUCCCGUUGGGCACGGGGGGGGGGUCGGGGGGGUUUCAGCCUUCCCGAAUUCCCACGAGCCGGGCUGCUGUCCCCCCUGCGGUUCUCCCGCCAGCCCUGCGGGACGGGCGCCUCGCCGCUGGCUCGAUCCCCCCGCAGGCUUGGGAAUGGCCGCGGGCUCCUUUUCCCUCGGUGGCUUCUUUCUUUUCUUUUGGGCACCCCUGCAGGAGCACGGGGCGGGCAGAGGGAGGGCGCAGAGGCCGGGCUGCUGCACGGGGGGCAGCGGGCGGUGGGACGGCGAUGGGCGCUCUGUGUUUUUCCCCCCCUCUGGAUGCUUUUAUGGCCGGCUGGAAAGCGCUACGGGGGCUGAGGGCAGCAGCAGUCCCUGCUGGGGAGAGGUGGGUGGGAACCUCCUGGGACAGAGACCUCAAAAAAAAAAAAAAAAAGGGGGAAAGUGGCUGCAAGCAGCCAACUUCACACCUUAAGGGUGCGAGGAGGAGCAAGGCGCAGAGGUGUGGGGAGCCCAGCACCAGCUCCCUCCGCCACUGGUUUCCAGCACGGCCUCGGACCAGGCGCUCGUCCUGCGCCUCUGGUGCCGCCGGGUGUCCCGUGGACCCGCCGCAGGGAUGCGUUUGCAGGCCGGUGCGUGGGGAGAGGCGGGGGGCUUGGGGUUGAGGUGGGGGGCACGGGGAGCAGGGCGGUUCCCCAGGGGAACCCUGCUGCAGGGAACAAAAACCCACCGCCAUCAGCCUGCCGGCUCCCGACGCCUCCCAGGGGAAGGGACAUUUGGCACCAAAUGGCGCGAGAGGUUUGCCGGCAGCCGCAGGGGGAUUUGCGGUGGGGAUUUGCAGGAGCCGGUCCUGGGGGGGCAGGUGGGGACGGGGCUGAGAGCUGAGCCACUCCCGGGACAGGGGGACAGGUCUCAGCACAGCCUCUGCUCACGGGGCCGCUCUUCGGGGGCUCUGUCGUGCUUCCAGCAGCAUCCACGUGAGCCACGAACCCGGCUGGCGCUGCCAUUGCCCCGCUCCCCUGCGUCCCUUCCACGUGGUGCAGGGCAGAGCCGCUGCUGGCAGGGAUGGAGUGCCAGAGCCCCCCAGGGGCAUGGCACCGCUCUCUGGGAGCCCCGGGGCACGCUGCGCUUGAAGCCAUACCCGGGCAAUGUCCCUAGGGACCAGGUCCUGCCCUGAGCCAUUCCCAAAGUCCUGCUGGCCCCCGAGGAGGACAAGACCAAAUCCCAAGCGGAGGAUCGACACCCGGGAGCUCCAGCCUCUCCCUGGCAUCCCUGGGGCGUGCUUGGCUCAGGACCUCACCGCGAUGAGCAUCAUCCCAGCGCCUUCCUUGUAAUUCCCUG
Molecule: long non-coding RNA, 1487 nt
Filed under: Anser cygnoides (Swan goose)
Lineage: Eukaryota; Metazoa; Chordata; Aves; Anseriformes; Anatidae
Description: lncRNA (ENSACDG00005014859.1)
Source: RNAcentral